AGCGAACGCUGGCGGCAGGCUUAACACAUGCAAGUCGAGCGGGCAUCCUUGUGGUGUCAGCGGCAGACGGGUGAGUAACGCGUGGGAACGUGCCCUUCGGUUCGGAAUAACUCAGGGAAACUUGAGCUAAUACCGGAUACGUGCGAGAGCAGAAAGGUUUAUCUGCCGAAGGAUCGGCCCGCGUCUGAUUAGCUAGUUGGUGAGGUUAUGGCUCACCAAGGCGACGAUCAGUAGCUGGUCUGAGACGAUGAUCAGCCACACUGGGACUGAGACACGGCCCAGACUCCUACGGGAGGCAGCAGUGGGGAAUAUUGGACAAUGGGGGCAACCCUGAUCCAGCCAUGCCGCGUGAGUGAUGACGGCCUUAGGGUUGUAAAGCUCUUUUCUCCGGGACGAUAAUGACGGUACCGGAGGAAUAAGCCCCGGCUAACUUCGUG
RNAcentral lists this ribosomal RNA (437 nucleotides) under uncultured bacterium. Its description in RNAcentral is "partial 16S ribosomal RNA". It matches the Rfam family "Bacterial small subunit ribosomal RNA", at positions 29 to 507 of the family's 1533-position model. The record is from RNAcentral.